AUUGAACGCUGGCGGCAUGCCUUACACAUGCAAGUCGAACGGCAGCACGGGAGCUUGCUCCUGGUGGCGAGUGGCGAACGGGUGAGUAAUGCAUCGGAACGUGCCCUGAAGGUGGGGGAUAACGUAGCGAAAGUUACGCUAAUACCGCAUAUUCUGUGAGCAGGAAAGCAGGGGAUCUUCGGACCUUGCGCUUUUGGAGCGGCCGAUGUCGGAUUAGCUAGUUGGUGGGGUAAAGGCCCACCAAGGCGACGAUCCGUAGCGGGUCUGAGAGGAUGAUCCGCCACACUGGAACUGAGACACGGUCCAGACUCCUACGGGAGGCAGCAGUGGGGAAUUUUGGACAAUGGGCGCAAGCCUGAUCCAGCCAUGCCGCGUGAGUGAAGAAGGCC
This 389-nucleotide ribosomal RNA is filed under the name uncultured bacterium. RNAcentral's name for it is "bacterial SSU rRNA". It matches the Rfam family "Bacterial small subunit ribosomal RNA", at positions 30 to 416 of the family's 1533-position model. The record is from RNAcentral.